GGUGCCCGGGUGGCCGAGUGAGGGUCCUCAGCUGAUCCAGUGUUUGACGGAGAUUUCAAGGUAGCUGCAUGGCGUCCACAACCCUAUUUUCUCCUCCCUAUCUUGUUCAUUUUCUGCAUUUUUCUAGACAUAUAAUGUAUUAUAUAUUCAGUCAUGUAUUAGAGGCUCUAGAUUCGUGACACCAGAUACUUAGGGGCUGUGUAGUUUCAUGUUUAUUUGACUUGUGC
Molecule: long non-coding RNA, 227 nt
Filed under: Nicotiana benthamiana
Lineage: Eukaryota; Viridiplantae; Streptophyta; Magnoliopsida; Solanales; Solanaceae
Description: long non-coding RNA (NBEN_LNC017345)
Source: RNAcentral